Molecule: ribosomal RNA, 23 nt
Filed under: Biatora helvola
Lineage: Eukaryota; Fungi; Ascomycota; Lecanoromycetes; Lecanorales; Ramalinaceae
Description: partial 28S ribosomal RNA
Source: RNAcentral
GAUUGACAUCGGAUCAGGCAGGA